Long non-coding RNA from Drosophila nasuta, 261 nucleotides. RefSeq lists it as uncharacterized. The record is from RefSeq and is a predicted model, not a curated record. The transcript has 3 exons. Lineage: Eukaryota; Metazoa; Arthropoda; Insecta; Diptera; Drosophilidae.
AUUCUUUAACACAACUCUCAUACACACAUAUGUAUAUCAAAAUAUAUAAAUAAAAACAUUCUGAAGAAGAUAUGAACAAUAGCCAUCAAGCGACAAGGAGAAAACUCAUUGUCAUAUUCAUUCUCAUAUUACACUCGAAGCACAACUGAAUAACAAAUUGAAGUGAAAAUGAUUAAAGUCGUUGAUAAAAUAUAGAAAAAAAAAUAGACAAUUUAGGUAUAAGCAUAAAGUGUGAACCCAAUAAAAACUGCAAAAUCAAAA